Long non-coding RNA from Nicotiana attenuata, 613 nucleotides. RefSeq lists it as uncharacterized. NCBI's taxonomy places the organism in Eukaryota, Viridiplantae, Streptophyta, Magnoliopsida, Solanales, Solanaceae. The record is from RefSeq and is a predicted model, not a curated record. The transcript is spliced from 4 exons.
AGCACAUAGAGAGUUUAUGAUAUACUAUUAAUCUAGUUAUAUUACCCAUUGAAACAGAAGUGGAGAUGAUAUUACAUCCUUUGGAACCUGGCUGGGAGUCCAUGUUGAGGUACCGGAAACGGGCUAUACUGUAUCACGCCCUGAGAACCUAUGACUUCCCACCUGCCAUUGUUAAAGCAUGAGAAAUGACAUUAGAAUACAGAUUUUAACACACUUUCAUGAGCUGCAUAUGCAAGGUAUUUGAGAAUCCAAGUUAGAGCAGUAGCUGUUGUAUCUUGCGCAGCAAAGAGUACACCAAUGAUAUUGUCGGCAAUUUGAUCUUCCAUUAAAGAAAUGAAAAUUCUUCGUUUCGUGCGUCUUGAGAAAUAAAAUGCUGCUCAUAUAUUCUAGAAAACGGACCAGAUAUUAUAUGGAAGCUGAUGGAAAGUCCUAAUUUGAAUGGCCGUAUAUUUUGUGAUUCCAUGGUUGGAAAGUUACCUUGGAAAUGAAUUUGGGUGUAAUUGAACGUAAUUAUACAAUUUGAUAUGUUUGUUUUGCCAAGUAAUUAUUUAGUCAGCAUGGAAUUGGGUGUAAUUGGAAGGGUGUAAUUACACUUUUUAUUUCUCAAGGGAAG